Fundulus heteroclitus (mummichog) is the source of this 493-nucleotide long non-coding RNA. RefSeq lists it as uncharacterized. The transcript has 3 exons. The record is from RefSeq and is a predicted model, not a curated record. Lineage: Eukaryota; Metazoa; Chordata; Actinopteri; Cyprinodontiformes; Fundulidae.
UUGAACCGGCUGCGAUCUGUAAGCAGCUGAUUUUAAUGUGUGCUUGAUUUUCAGCCUUUGCUCUGGGAGCUGAUGAAGGCCAAAGCUAAACCGCAUCAUGGAAACAGGAGAAGCGGUGGGGAUUGGUCUUGGAGUGUUCAGUUUUGGCGUACUUGUUGCUGGUUUACUUUGUUGCCUGUAUAAAUGGAAAAAAGGUAGAGGAGGAACAGAAAACAACGUGGAAAUGACCAAGGCGUCGAAGGGAAAGCAGCUGAUGCACAACAGGAGGAAGUCUGAGAGCGAAGUUCCUCCUAAGCCCUCGCCUGUGAUGAACAGGAAAUUUGGAAGCAUGACUGACAUCUCUAGCCGACUUCUAGAAGGAAUAACUCAGUAACUUUUGCCUUCCAGAGACAUCUGGCUGACUUUGAGGAUGUUCUGAAUCCGUCAGCACCCGGGAGCCUGCCACAAUGCCGAUAUUUAAUUACUUAAUCAAUAUAACAAUUCCUCAAUCCCU